UAAAAAGAAAGAAUGGGAUUUGAACCCACGGUAUUUGUAUACUUAAGUUUAGCAAACUUACACUUUAAACCACUCAGUCAUCUUUCU
This 87-nucleotide transfer RNA is filed under the name Melosira undulata. RNAcentral describes it as "tRNA-Ser". The record is from RNAcentral. Lineage: Eukaryota; Bacillariophyta; Melosirophyceae; Melosirales; Melosiraceae.